RNAcentral lists this ribosomal RNA (259 nucleotides) under uncultured bacterium. RNAcentral describes it as "partial 16S ribosomal RNA". It matches the Rfam family "Bacterial small subunit ribosomal RNA", at positions 99 to 353 of the family's 1533-position model. The record is from RNAcentral.
CGAACGGGUGAGUAACGCGUGAGGAACCUGCCUCAAAGAGGGGGACAACAGUUGGAAACGACUGCUAAUACCGCAUAAGCCCACGGGUCGGCAUCGACCAGAGGGAAAAGGAGCAAUCCGCUUUGAGAUGGUCUCGCGUCCGAUUAGCUAGUUGGUGAGGUAAUGGCCCACCAAGGCGACGAUCGGUAGCCGGACUGAGAGGUUGAACGGCCACAUUGGGACUGAGACACGGCCCAGACUCCUACGGGGAGGCAGCAUG